UUAGAGUUUGAUCCUGGCUCAGAACGAACGCUGGCGGCGUGCCUAACACAUGCAAGUCGAACGUGAUCCAGAGCUUGCUCUGGUGAAAGUGGCGCACGGGUGAGUAACGCGUGGAUAACCUACCCUGGUAUCCGGGAUAACAUUCCGAAAGGGGUGCUAAUACCGGAUAAGCCCACGGGCUCUUUGGAGCUUGCGGGAAAAGGUGGCCUCUAUUUAUAAGCUACUGUAUCAGGAUGAGUCCGCGUACCAUUAGCUAGUUGGCGGUGUAACGGACCACCAAGGCGACGAUGGUCAGCUGGUCUGAGAGGAUGAUCAGCCACACUGGAACUGAGACACGGUCCAGACUCCUACGGGAGGCAGCAGUGGGGAAUUUUGCGCAAUGGGGGAAACCCUGACGCAGCAACGCCGCGUGAGUGAUGAAGGCCUUUGGGUCGUAAAGCUCUGUCAAAGGGGAAGAAAUGAUAUAGUGCUAAUACCACUUUAUCUUGACGGUACCCUCAAAGGAAGCACCGGCUAACUCCGUGCCAGCAGCCGCGGUAAUAC
RNAcentral lists this ribosomal RNA (543 nucleotides) under uncultured Geobacteraceae bacterium. Its description in RNAcentral is "bacterial SSU rRNA". It matches the Rfam family "Bacterial small subunit ribosomal RNA", at positions 1 to 526 of the family's 1533-position model. Lineage: Bacteria; Pseudomonadati; Thermodesulfobacteriota; Desulfuromonadia; Geobacterales; Geobacteraceae. The record is from RNAcentral.